This 253-nucleotide ribosomal RNA is filed under the name uncultured bacterium. Its description in RNAcentral is "partial 16S ribosomal RNA". It matches the Rfam family "Bacterial small subunit ribosomal RNA", at positions 524 to 776 of the family's 1533-position model. The record is from RNAcentral.
UACGUAGGGCGCAAGCGUUGUCCGGAAUUAUUGGGCGUAAAGAGCUCGUAGGCGGCUUGUCACGUCGGGUGUGAAAGCCCGGGGCUUAACCCCGGGUCUGCAUUCGAUACGGGCAAGCUAGAGUGUGGUAGGGGAGAUCGGAAUUCCUGGUGUAGCGGUGGAAUGCGCAGAUAUCAGGAGGAACACCGAUGGCGAAGGCAGGUCUCUGGGCCGCAACUGACGCUGAGGAGCGAAAGCAUGGGGAGCGAACAGG